This 73-nucleotide small nucleolar RNA is filed under the name Drosophila willistoni. Its description in RNAcentral is "snoRNA:GK26693". The record is from RNAcentral. Lineage: Eukaryota; Metazoa; Arthropoda; Insecta; Diptera; Drosophilidae.
UUUUAUGAUGUUACUUUUUAUUAGUAUAGUUCAUUAGAAUCAAAUAUGUUACAAACUUUAUAAAGCUGAUAUA